Molecule: ribosomal RNA, 450 nt
Filed under: uncultured Sphingomonadaceae bacterium
Lineage: Bacteria; Pseudomonadati; Pseudomonadota; Alphaproteobacteria; Sphingomonadales; Sphingomonadaceae
Description: bacterial SSU rRNA
Rfam family: Bacterial small subunit ribosomal RNA
Source: RNAcentral
AACGAACGCUGGCGGCAUGCCUAACACAUGCAAGUCGAACGAAGCCUUCGGGCUUAGUGGCGCACGGGUGCGUAACGCGUGGGAAUCUGCCCUUGGGUACGGAAUAACAGUGAGAAAUUACUGCUAAUACCGUAUGAUGUCUUCGGACCAAAGAUUUAUCGCCCAAGGAUGAGCCCGCGUAGGAUUAGCUAGUUGGUGAGGUAAAGGCUCACCAAGGCUACGAUCCUUAGCUGGUCUGAGAGGAUGAUCAGCCACACUGGGACUGAGACACGGCCCAGACUCCUACGGGAGGCAGCAGUGGGGAAUAUUGGACAAUGGGCGAAAGCCUGAUCCAGCAAUGCCGCGUGAGUGAAGAAGGCCUUCGGUUGUAAAGGCUCUUUUACCCGGGAACGAUAAUGACCGUACCGGGAGAAUAAGCCCGGCUAACUCCGUGCCAGCAGCCGCGGUAAU